Molecule: transfer RNA, 93 nt
Filed under: Xylariaceae sp. FL1019
Lineage: Eukaryota; Fungi; Ascomycota; Sordariomycetes; Xylariales; Xylariaceae
Description: tRNA-Tyr
Rfam family: tRNA
About the family: Transfer RNA (tRNA) molecules are approximately 80 nucleotides in length. Their secondary structure includes four short double-helical elements and three loops (D, anti-codon, and T loops).
Source: RNAcentral
CUCUCGAUGGCGCAGUUGGUAGCGCAUUGGACUGUAAUUGUAACUUCUUUUCAGAUCAUCCACAGGUCGUGUGUUCGAAUCACACUCGGGAGA